Non-coding RNA from Heterocephalus glaber (naked mole-rat), 3244 nucleotides. The record is from RefSeq and is a predicted model, not a curated record. Lineage: Eukaryota; Metazoa; Chordata; Mammalia; Rodentia; Bathyergidae.
UUACAUGUCUUUUUUCAUUACUGGGCAUCAGAACUCAGUGGUGAGGUCUGCCUCUCAGAGAAUUCUCCUGAGACUCAAGUGUGGCUGUGACCAUUUAUUGAUGGACAUUUUUUGAAACGCCAAUGUGCGAAAGUGUCUGUUUCUUUUCUUUAAAAGAAACAAUUUUUGGAAAGUCAAGUCCACAUCAUUGCCUCCUCCACCCCCAAUGUGGAGUCUUCUAAUGUGACUGGCUCUUCAGCUGGACAAGAAAACAACAACAACAACAACAACCUGGGCUUCCAGCAGAAUUAAUUAGAUCUCCAACAUCAAAGGUACCAGGGUGUAUGGAGCUCUUUCUCCCAGAACUGUAGCUCAGACAAAUAUUUUCUGGGUAAGUGGCUUUGCUUGAUUGCAAAGGUUAGUAUGCAUCUGGACUAAACUGGAGGGCGACGGAGGUGUACACAAGCCAGAAGAAAAUGCUCGUCCUUCCUAGGGGUUCAGGCCGCUCCAUGUCAUUGUUAUGUAAGCAUCAGCUGGCGUCACUCUCCCUGCAUCAGCAGGCAGGCAGCUUGCCACCCUCUGCUGUGACCAUAUCUUGACCACCCUCGCCCCCAGGGACAGGUGCUCUUCAUUCGCUGCUACCAUGUGGGAACAGCCAUGACUAACGCAGAAUCUUGUUUAAAAAGAGCAUUUACAUUUUUCCCUAUAAACCUUAAGCUUCAUUUCCCACUGCCUGUUGAGGCUUUCUGCGCUAGUGAAACGACAGGAAGAGGUGUAUACUGAACAUAAAUUCAUACAAAAAAGUGUGCAUAGCAUAGAUGUGAAGCCCUGUGAAUUGUCCCAACAAACCCAGGCACAGCCAUAACAAGCAGCAAGACCCCCCGCCCCCGACACACACACGCUUUAACUCACCUGAAGGGUAAGUGAAGGGAAUUCAUUAUCCUGACUUCACCAUCCCAGGUUAGUGUUGGCCAACAGGGAGACCUUUAAAGUCCUGGAUAUGCCUUAACAGGGGCAGUGUACAAUUUAACCCCUAGGGCAAGCGAGUGGGAGAAUCCAUGACCUUACACUCCGGCUCUGGCUUGAAUGGGACCUUCAGGGUGGGAGAACGACUUUGGUGUCCGAAAAUCCACCUCUGGAACCACGCGAGAGUAGAGCAGAGUAAUGUUUCCGGUGCAUCCUGUGGGCCUGCUCCCUCCUGCUCGGUGUCCUUAUCCGGGAGGCUGUCCGAGAAGAAGCUGGUGACUUGACCAUGGACUUUCCAGGCCCUGUGACAGUGGACCUUUGACACACCUGGCCCCAGCCACACCUGCAACAGAUAUUUUUAACAAGCCAGUGCCAGGAAAUGCUUUUCCUUCUGAGCCAAAAGAAAGAAGACAGAUCUACUGAGAGCCUUUGAUUAACUAACUGAGAGAAAAUUCACUCACUUGCUGUCUGGGCAGAACCUGGAACUUGCCUGCUGAGAGUCAAGGUCAAGCCAGCUCAUGGAAGUUAUCACGUGGAUGCCCCUGGGAGCCUCCAACCAGACAAGUGCCAUCUCCCUUCUGGAUUAUCCCCUGGCAGAGAGAAACAGCACCAACUCCACAAGGGCUCUGUGGCUGCUGGAGGGGAUGAGUGCAGUCUGGUACAUCCUCACUAUCAUCGGCUUCUUUGGGGUGAUUUUUCUCUUCCAGUUGGCCAGCAACAUCCUCAGGAAGAAUGAUAAGUCCUUGGAAGAUAUUUACUAUUCCAAUUUGACCUUUGAACUCAAAAAGAAAGGACUCCAGAGCAAGAUGGCCAAGUGCUCCUCACUGAUCAUUAGCAACACAGCUGUCCUGCAGCCUAGCCAGGCCAGCCUGGUGUCCAAGUGCGGAAACAGUGGGCCCCAAACCGGAGCCCAGGGUAUUCCUUGAAAGUCAAGCCAGCAGAUCUCCAGUGGGAGGCUCCAACCUUUUUUCCAGUAGGUGCAGCUUUGGGUUUCCUGGAACCUGGAGAGAGGAGUUGAGCCCUUGAAUGGGACAGAUAGAGGAUCACCACGGUAUGGGCACUUCUGGCUGAUGGGCAUGUGGCCCGACACCAGUAGUCUGUAUCCCUGUGAGACUUUCUGAUGCUUUAGGGUGGGGGCAGCAGAAGCCAUACUUGCCCUUCCCUAGCAAACUCUGUGCUCUAGGAUACUCCAAGAAUCUAGGAUACUCCAAGGAAACAGGUGGUUUCUUGUCAUGGAAAGAAGGCUGAUUUGGAGUGAAAUGCUCUAGGUUAAAAUUCAACUUCUAGAGACAAGUCACAUAAAGUUUGAGUGGCUGGUUGCUCACCUGGAACUUGUAGAAGUUGGGAUAGAUGGAACCAAAGGGCCAUUUCCUUUUAAAUACUGACUCCAUUGAAUUCAGAACCACAGUUGUUUAUAUUAGAAGUUACAGAUUCUUCAUUUUCAUUGUGUGACUGGAGUGCAUUGGGAAAUACACUUAUUUUGGACUCAGAAGGUCUGGACUCUACUUUGGACUUGAUUAUCACUGCUUUCGUGUCUGUGUACACACCACACCACCUCCCUGGAAUGUAGUUUACAGACAAAAUGAAGAGAGUAAUGCCACAUUGGCUAGCCUUACCCAGUAGAUAAGAUCUGAUGAGAUUAUGUGUGUGAGUGCGUUCUGCAAAGCAAGUAUAUAAAUAUAAGUGUUGCAGUGAGGGUGAUGUUGUGACAGUGAUAACUGAUGCUGAUGCUGGUGGUGUUGGCAGUGGUUUUGGUGGCUGAUGGUAGAUCUGAGUCAUGGUGGUGGAUGGAGGUUGAGGAGAAUGGAGGCGUGGCAUGGUGAUUCAUGUUGGUGGUGGUGGUGGUGGAGUGAUGCUGUUGUAGAUCAGGAAAUGACUCAUCCAUUAGCAAUCAGUCCUUAAACCAUGGCUAUAUUGCUUUGUUCUGUAGGAGAACCCAUCUGGGUAUCUGUUGAUGACCCAUACUGUGAGUUUGUAACCACCAAGGCAAAAUAGAUCUUUAAGAGUUAGAAUUUUUUCUUUGAGAGUCAAGCUGUUUCUCCAAAUUUCCUUAGUCCUUUCUUUCAACCCUCCUUCCUCAGCCCAGAUGAAUGGAUAGAAUUCGUAGAUGUUGACUCCAGGUGGCCAGAGUCCACUUUCUUUUUCACAGGGAAGGAAAGGAGCAGGACAAGGCCAGAAGAAAUGAAGCAUGCUUGGGAUUGUCUGUGGUCUCAUUGCAUCCCUCCCAUCUCUACUCCUUACUAUAAAAGGCCCUUGCACACCUGACACGGUGAAAUGAGGAUUUGUGGCAGUAUAAGGC